Molecule: ribosomal RNA, 1998 nt
Filed under: Triticum aestivum (bread wheat)
Lineage: Eukaryota; Viridiplantae; Streptophyta; Magnoliopsida; Poales; Poaceae
Description: partial small subunit ribosomal RNA
Source: RNAcentral
AUGGGCUGCUGCCAGUCGAGGCUGGAGCGCCAGGAGGCGGUGUCGCGCUGCAAGGCGCGCCGCCGCUACACCAAGCACCUCGUGCAGGCGCGCCGGGACAUGGCCGCCUCCCACGCGCUCUACCUCCGCUCGCUGCGGGCCACGGGCGCCGCGCUGCUCCAGUUCGCCACCGCCGAGGCCGACAACCCGCACCCGCACCCGCGCCCGACCCACCACCAGCGCCACCAGCCGCCGCCCUCCCCGCCUCCGCCGCCGCCCCCUCCGCCGCCGCCGCCGCCCCCGCCGCUCAGCCCCGCGCGGACCGCCAGCUCCUGGACCACCACCACCUCCUCCACCAUCAGCGCCUCGCAAAUCCUGCCGCCCCCUCCCCCUCCGCCCCCGCCGCCGCCGGCCCCAAUGCCGUCCAGCUGGGACUUCUGGGACCCCUUCGCGCCCUCCUCCUCCCGCUCCCCCGCCGACGCCGCCGCCGAAUGGGACGACGCGGCCACCUCCCUCGCCGAAUCCCCCCGCGCCGCGCCGCCGCCCGUCGUCGUCACGGCCAAGGCCGCCCAGGCCCAGCCCCCGGCGCCGUCCGUCGUCACCACCACCACAUCCACCGCCAGCGAGCUCACCGUCGUCGCCCUGCCCCGCGGCGGCGGCGCGGCCGGGAAGAAGGACCUCGCCGAGAUCGCCACCGAUAUCGACGAGUACUUCCUCAAGGCCGCCGACGCCGGCGCCCGCGUCGCCGCGCUGCUCGAGGCCCCAAUCUGCGAGCUCCCCAACGCCAACAACAGCCUCCCAGGGAGGGUGAUGAGCUACGGCAAGAACCUGAAGCCGACGGGAUGGUCGUGGGGCGGCGGCGGAGGAGGGUACGGGAAAGGCAGCAGCAAUGGCUUCUCCAGGUUCGGGACAGGAGACGAAGGCAUGAUGGGCAAUGGCGGAGGCAGUGGGAUCCUCAGCCACUCCUCCACCGUCGAGAGGCUCUACGCCUGGGAGAAGAAGCUGUUUCUUGAGGUCAAGAACUACGAGGGGCUUAAGCAGGAGCAUGACAAGAAGGUGGGGCUGCUGAGGAAGCAGGAGGUGAGGGGCGUGGACUACCUCAAGAUGGAGAAGAACAGGAUGGAGAUGGAGAGCCUCGAAUCCAAGAUGCUGGUGGCCACCCAGUCCAUCGACACCACCACCUCCGAGAUCAUCAGGCUCAGAGAAUCCGAGCUGUUCCCUCAGCUACUUGAGCUGGUUGCUGGCUUGAUGAGCAUGUGGAGGGGCAUGUAUGAGUGCCAUCAGGUACAGACCCACAUGGUGCAGCAGCUUGAAUACCUGACCAUGAGCACCAGCCCAACCUCCAAUGACCACCGGCAAGCGGCGCUCCAGCUCGAGAUCGAGGUGGACAGGUGGUACUCGGCGUUCUGCAGCCUGGUUAAGUCCCAGAGAGAUUAUGUCUACUCGCUGACCGGCUGGCUUCGCCUCUCCCUGUUCCAAUGCCUUCACAACCCACUCAUGAAAGACAUACAGAACUCCGACAUCUACAGCCUGUGCGAGGAGUGGCAGCUGGCCAUCGACCGGAUCCCCGACAAGGUGGCCUCGGAAGGGAUCAAAACCCUCCUUUCAGUGAUCCACGCCGUGGUAGUCCAGCAGGCGGAGGAGCAGAAGCAGAAGAAGAGGUCAGAUGCUGCAUUCAAAGACUUUGAGAAGAAGACAGAGGAACUGCGAUCCCUGGAGUCCAAAUACGGGCCGUACUCUGCUGAAGGCUAUGGAGAGAUGACGCGGAAGACACCGGUAGCAGAGAAGCGGGCGAAGGUGGAGGCCCUGAGGAGCAGGGUGGACGACGAGAAGACCAAGCACGAGAAGAGCGUCGGGGUGACGAGGGCGAUGACCCUGAACAACCUCCAGACAGGGUUCCCCAACGUCUUCCAGGCGAUGACGGGCUUCGCCAGCGUCUGCAUGGAGGCGUUCGAGUCGGUGUACAACUUCAAGCGGAGCUCGGACCGGGCGCUCGACAUGAAGAGGCUGCUGACCUGA